This 229-nucleotide ribosomal RNA is filed under the name uncultured bacterium. RNAcentral's name for it is "partial 16S ribosomal RNA". It matches the Rfam family "Bacterial small subunit ribosomal RNA", at positions 568 to 796 of the family's 1533-position model. The record is from RNAcentral.
UGCGUAGGCGGAAAAUUAAGUCAGUGAUGAAAUCCUGCAGCUUAACUGUAGAACUGUUAUUGAUACUGAUUUUCUUGAAUAUAGUUGAGGUAGGCGGAAUGUGUAAUGUAGCGGUGAAAUGCUUAGAUAUUACACAGAUCACCGAUUGCGAAGGCAGCUUACUAAGCUAUUAUUGACGCUGAGGCACGAAAGCGUGGGGAGCGAACAGGAUUAGAUACCCUGGUAGUCC